Molecule: non-coding RNA, 90 nt
Organism: Vitis vinifera (wine grape)
Lineage: Eukaryota; Viridiplantae; Streptophyta; Magnoliopsida; Vitales; Vitaceae
Source: RefSeq, marked provisional
CACUAUCAGUUGAAGCUGCCAGCAUGAUCUAAACUUGCUUCCCUUUGUGAACAGAGAUCAGAUCAUGUGGCAGUUUCACCUGUUGUUGGU